Molecule: ribosomal RNA, 1372 nt
Filed under: uncultured bacterium
Lineage: Bacteria
Description: bacterial SSU rRNA
Rfam family: Bacterial small subunit ribosomal RNA
Source: RNAcentral
GAUGAACGUUGGCGGCGUGCCUAAUACAUGCAAGUCGAGCGAACAGAUAAGGAGCUUGCUCCUUUGACGUUAGCGGCGGACGGGUGAGUAACACGUGGGUAACCUACCUAUAAGACUGGGAUAACUUCGGGAAACCGGAGCUAAUACCGGAUAACAUUUGGAACCGCAUGGUUCUAAAGUGAAAGAUGGUUUUGCUAUCACUUAUAGAUGGACCCGCGCCGUAUUAGCUAGUUGGUAAGGUAACGGCUUACCAAGGCGACGAUACGUAGCCGACCUGAGAGGGUGAUCGGCCACACUGGAACUGAGACACGGUCCAGACUCCUACGGGAGGCAGCAGUAGGGAAUCUUCCGCAAUGGGCGAAAGCCUGACGGAGCAACGCCGCGUGAGUGAUGAAGGGUUUCGGCUCGUAAAACUCUGUUAUUAGGGAAGAACAAACGUGUAAGUAACUGUGCACGUCUUGACGGUACCUAAUCAGAAAGCCACGGCUAACUACGUGCCUGCAGCCGCGGUAAUACGUAGGUGGCAAGCGUUAUCCGGAAUUAUUGGGCGCAAAGCGCGCGUAGGCGGUUUCUUAAGUCUGAUGUGAAAGCCCACGGCUCAACCGUGGAGGGUCAUUGGAAACUGGGAAACUUGAGUGCAGAAGAGGAAAGUGGAAUUCCAUGUGUAGCGGUGAAAUGCGCAGAGAUAUGGAGGAACACCAGUGGCGAAGGCGACUUUCUGGUCUGUAACUGACGCUGAUGUGCGAAAGCGUGGGGAUCAAACAGGAUUAGAUACCCUGGUAGUCCACGCCGUAAACGAUGAGUGCUAAGUGUUAGGGGGUUUCCGCCCCUUAGUGCUGCAGCUAACGCAUUAAGCACUCCGCCUGGGGAGUACGACCGCAAGGUUGAAACUCAAAGGAAUUGACGGGGACCCGCACAAGCGGUGGAGCAUGUGGUUUAAUUCGAAGCAACGCGAAGAACCUUACCAAAUCUUGACAUCCUUUGAAAACUCUAGAGAUAGAGCCUUCCCCUUCGGGGGACAAAGUGACAGGUGGUGCAUGGUUGUCGUCAGCUCGUGUCGUGAGAUGUUGGGUUAAGUCCCGCAACGAGCGCAACCCUUAAGCUUAGUUGCCAUCAUUAAGUUGGGCACUCUAGGUUGACUGCCGGUGACAAACCGGAGGAAGGUGGGGAUGACGUCAAAUCAUCAUGCCCCUUAUGAUUUGGGCUACACACGUGCUACAAUGGACAAUACAAAGGGCAGCUAAACCGCGAGGUCAUGCAAAUCCCAUAAAGUUGUUCUCAGUUCGGAUUGUAGUCUGCAACUCGACUACAUGAAGCUGGAAUCGCUAGUAAUCGUAGAUCAGCAUGCUACGGUGAAUACGUUCCCGGGUCU